Molecule: long non-coding RNA, 236 nt
Filed under: Vigna radiata
Lineage: Eukaryota; Viridiplantae; Streptophyta; Magnoliopsida; Fabales; Fabaceae
Description: long non-coding RNA (VRAD_LNC012201)
Source: RNAcentral
UUUUCAUCAACCAACCAACCAAAAUGCAAAGAAAAACGUGAGGAACAGCAGUAAAGGAGAGGAAAAACGAAAAUAUAAAGUCACUCAAACCCAACAAUCACCAUGGAAAUGCAAAGAAAAGCUUAAAAGCUCAAGCUUCAAACAUCAAAAACAAGCAAAUGGAAGAAGGAAUGAAUGGAUUUUCACCACCAAUGAGUUAAGACAACCAAGAGUAAGUCAAGGGAAGAAGAAAAUCU